Molecule: long non-coding RNA, 131 nt
Organism: Populus euphratica (Euphrates poplar)
Lineage: Eukaryota; Viridiplantae; Streptophyta; Magnoliopsida; Malpighiales; Salicaceae
Exons: 3
Source: RefSeq, a predicted model, not a curated record
AUAUGAAUAUGUGGUGAUUGCAGAACAAACAUGAAAUGUGUGCAAGAUAAAUUAUCGAUAACUUGAGAUUUUUCAGUAUAGGGAAGACUUUACUAAAAUUUUAUUAGAAAUAUUCAUAAAUCUUAUAUAUA